AACGCGAAGAACCUUACCAAGGUUUGACAUGGCCGGAAAAGCAUCAGAGAUGGUGUGUCCUUCGGGUCGGUCACAGGUGGUGCAUGGCUGUCGUCAGCUCGUGUCGUGAGAUGUUGGGUUAAGUCCCGCAACGAGCGCAACCCUCGUCCUAUGUUGCCAGCGGGUCAUGCCGGGGACUCAUGGGAGACUGCCGGGGUCAACUCGGAGGAAGGUGGGGAUGACGUCAAGUCAUCAUGCCCCUUAUGUCCAGGGCUUCACACAUGCUACAAUGGCCGGUACAAAGGGCUGCGAUGCCGUGAGGCUUAGCGAAUCCUUUAAAGCCGGUCUCAGUUCGGAUCGGGGUCUGCAACUCGACCCCGUGAAGUCGGAGUCGCUAGUAAUCGCAGAUCAGCAACGCUGCGGUGAAUACGUUCCCGGGCCUUGUACACACCGCGCAUA
RNAcentral lists this ribosomal RNA (438 nucleotides) under uncultured bacterium. Its description in RNAcentral is "bacterial SSU rRNA". It matches the Rfam family "Bacterial small subunit ribosomal RNA", at positions 958 to 1398 of the family's 1533-position model. The record is from RNAcentral.